This 253-nucleotide ribosomal RNA is filed under the name uncultured bacterium. RNAcentral's name for it is "partial 16S ribosomal RNA". It matches the Rfam family "Bacterial small subunit ribosomal RNA", at positions 524 to 776 of the family's 1533-position model. The record is from RNAcentral.
UACGAAGGGGGCUAGCGUUGUCCGGAUUUACUGGGUUUAAAGGGUGUGUAGGCGGACUUUUAAGUCUGGGGUGAAAUCUCCGAGCUCAACUCGGAAACUGCCUUGGAUACUAUUAGUCUUGAAUUAUGUUGAGGUUGGCGGAAUAUAACAUGUAGCGGUGAAAUGCAUCGAUAUGUUAUAGAACACCGAUUGCGAAGGCAGCUAACUAAGCAUAUAUUGACGCUGAGGCACGAAAGCGUGGGGAUCAAACAGG